This 497-nucleotide ribosomal RNA is filed under the name uncultured bacterium. RNAcentral describes it as "partial 16S ribosomal RNA". It matches the Rfam family "Bacterial small subunit ribosomal RNA", at positions 28 to 507 of the family's 1533-position model. The record is from RNAcentral.
GAUGAACGCUGGCGGCGUGCCUAAUACAUGCAAGUCGAGCGAACAGACGAGGAGCUUGCUCCUCUGACGUUAGCGGCGGACGGGUGAGUAACACGUGGAUAACCUACCUAUAAGACUGGGAUAACUUCGGGAAACCAGAGCUAAUACCGGAUAAUAUAUUGAACCGCAUGGUUCAAUAGUGAAAGACGGUUUUGCUGUCACUUAUAGAUGGAUCCGCGCCGCAUUAGCUAGUUGGUAAGGUAACGGCUUACCAAGGCAACGAUGCGUAGCCGACCUGAGAGGGUGAUCGGCCACACUGGAACUGAGACACGGUCCAGACUCCUACGGGAGGCAGCAGUAGGGAAUCUUCCGCAAUGGGCGAAAGCUUGACGGAGCAAUGCCGCGUGAGUGAUGAAGGUCUUCGGAUCGUAAAACUCUGUUAUUAGGGAAGAACAAAUGUGUAAGUAACUAUGCACGUCUUGACGGUACCUAAUCAGAAAGCCACGGCUAACUACGUG